GACGAACGCUGGCGGCGUGCUUAACACAUGCAAGUCGAACGGAAAGGCCCUGCUUUUGUGGGGUGCUCGAGUGGCGAACGGGUGAGUAACACGUGAGUAACCUGCCCUUGACUUUGGGAUAACUUCAGGAAACUGGGGCUAAUACCGGAUAGGAGCUCCUGCUGCAUGGUGGGGGUUGGAAAGUUUCGGCGGUUGGGGAUGGACUCGCGGCUUAUCAGCUUGUUGGUGGGGUAGUGGCUUACCAAGGCUUUGACGGGUAGCCGGCCUGAGAGGGUGACCGGCUGCUUUGUGACUACGACCUGCCCCAGGCUGCGGCGGGAGCGGGCGGUGGUAAAGAUUCGACAUGGGGCGUCAGUCUGCUGCGGCGCCGCCGCGUGCUGUCUGCCGGUCGUCGGUUUGUACUCCGCUUGCGCGUGAGAGGGGGCGGGAGGUACGAUAUGGGCAAAGGCCGCUCCGUCAAAUUACGCCCCAGCGGCCGCUGUAAUACUCAGCACAUCCCCCGUCAGCCC
Molecule: ribosomal RNA, 509 nt
Filed under: uncultured bacterium
Lineage: Bacteria
Description: partial 16S ribosomal RNA
Rfam family: Bacterial small subunit ribosomal RNA
Source: RNAcentral